UACGUAGGAGGCGAGCGUUGUCCGGAUUUACUGGGCGUAAAGCGCGCGCAGGCGGCACUUCAAGUAAGGUGUGAAAUCUCCCUGCUCAACGGGGAGGGUGCACUUUAGACUGAGGAGCUAGAGGACGGUAGAGGGGGGUGGAAUUGCUGGUGUAGCGGUGAAAUGCGUAGAUAUCUGGAGGAACACCUGUGGCGAAGGCGGCUAUCUGGUCCAAUUCUGACGCUGAGGCGCGAAAGGUAGGGGAGCAAACAGG
This 253-nucleotide ribosomal RNA is filed under the name uncultured bacterium. RNAcentral's name for it is "partial 16S ribosomal RNA". It matches the Rfam family "Bacterial small subunit ribosomal RNA", at positions 524 to 776 of the family's 1533-position model. The record is from RNAcentral.